This 253-nucleotide ribosomal RNA is filed under the name uncultured bacterium. RNAcentral describes it as "partial 16S ribosomal RNA". It matches the Rfam family "Bacterial small subunit ribosomal RNA", at positions 524 to 776 of the family's 1533-position model. The record is from RNAcentral.
UACGGGGGGGGCAAGCGUUGUUCGGAAUUACUGGGCGUAAAGGGCUCGUAGGUGGCCAACUAAGUCAGACGUGAAAUCCCUCGGCUUAACCGGGGAACUGCGUCUGAUACUGGAUGGCUUGAGAUUGGGAGAGGGAUGCGGAAUUCCAGGUGUAGCGAUGAAAUGCGUAGAUAUCUGGAGGAACACCGGUGGCGAAGGCGGCAUCCUGGACCAACACUGACACUGAGGAGCGAAAGCCAGGGGAGCAAACGGG